Long non-coding RNA from Balaenoptera acutorostrata (minke whale), 1834 nucleotides. RefSeq lists it as uncharacterized. The transcript is spliced from 4 exons. The record is from RefSeq and is a predicted model, not a curated record. Lineage: Eukaryota; Metazoa; Chordata; Mammalia; Artiodactyla; Balaenopteridae.
GUUCCUGGAACCAGUCCCCCACGGAUACUGAGGGCUAACUGCAUUGAGACACUAUAUUGAAAGAGCAACAUAAGAUGGUCACAGUUUGGUAAGAAGAUCAAAGGGCACGAUCAACAGCUCGUGCACUGCCUUGGUGUGGACCCAGAGUUCAAGCACAGACGAAGAUCAGACACUGACUUCACACUUCUGAUAGAAAAAUGAAGAAUUCAGAACCCAACCGGAAACUCAAGACAAGCUUCGAAAAUAGGAAUAAAAAUUCAAAGACCUUGGAACAGAAUUCCAGCAUAAAACCCAGGACCACCUCCACUGCGUCCACAGGCAGGUGGACGGCCAUCCCCACCACCAGCUCUACCAGUGCCACCUCGACCCACAGGAGUUGCUCCUCCUCCUCCAACUCCUUUACCUCUACUAAAUGGUAUACCAUAUUCACCACCAUUACCUUUGUUAGGGGAUCUCCUGGUUUAACUUAUGAAGCAGAAAUGAAUAUAUAAACCUGACCUCCAUGAAAUGAUUCUUGAACUGCAUGACUUUGAUUCUCCAAGGAAAAAGAAUCAAAUGCUCAAAGGCAAAAUUCUAACAAAAGGUUUUUGAGAUUUGCUAGUCACAGGUUGUCGUUAACAUGCAAAUAACUGCAUAGCUGUGUACAAGUAUGGUAUACUUUUAGAGACUAUGACUCUUGACUCUUUAGCUUUCCAUUGUGAGCUCACCAUCUUAUGUUGCUCUUUCAAUAUAGUGUCUCAAUGCAGUUAGCCCUCAGUAUCCGUGGGGGACUGGUUCCAGGAACCCUGUGGAUACAAAAAUCGGCAGAUACUCACAUCCUUUACAAUUAGCCCUCUGUAUCUGCGAGUUCCAUAUCUGUGGAUGUGGAACCCACGGAUAUGGACAGCUGACUGCAAUUCUUGUCAAUUACUUAAAGUGUCAUGAUGAGGUUCCCUAUGGGACAGCUACCUGUCAUGAGGAUGAAUCCUCAAACACUUCUGCUAUAUUUUCAGUCCACCAAAGAAUGCCUUACAGCUGGAAGGAGCUAGUGUCCCUUCUCUUCAGAGCUAAAGCGAUUUCAGUCUCUCAAACAGUUUGUUCAGACUUUAUAUAUGAAAAAUACUUUAAUUUUAAGCAAAAUUUAAAAUGUCACCCAAUCCAGUCACGCCGAAGUUCCCCUUAAGCUUUCUCUAUCUAGGAAAUUCCUACAAGUUCCCUUUCACUUAGGAAAUGUACCAGUAUCCUCUUAAGACUCCAAGCUGGUCUUCAGGUGGAUGGAUAAAGAAAAUAUGACAUGUACAGAAAACUGAAUAUUAUUCACCCCUUAAAGGGAAGUAAGAAAUACUUGGGUUAAGUAUUUAACGCAAGUAAAAAUAUGCAGUGGUUAAGAAUCCGACUGCCAGUGCAGAGGACACGGGUUCAAUCCCUGGUCCAGGAAGAUCCCACAUGCCGCGGAGCAACUAAGCCCGUGUGCCACAACUACUGAGGCUGGGCUCUAGAGCCCGCGAACCACAACUACUGAGCCCGCCUGCCGCUACUGAGCCCGUGUGCUGCAACUACUUGAGGCCACAUGCCUGGAGCCCGUGCUCCGAAAUACCAGAAACCACCACGAUGAGAAGCCCACGCACCGCAACAAACAGCAGCCCCCGCUUGCCACGGCUAGAGAAAGCCAGUGCCCCAACGCAGCCAAAAUAAAUAAAUAAAUAAUAAAAUGAACUUCACACAUGAAUAUCUCCUUUAAAAAAAUUUUUUAUUAUCUUUUCAAAGAACCAGCUGUCAAUUUUCUCAUUCAUUUUUCCUCUAUUCUAUACUUCAUGUAAGCUACGUUAAUUUUUGUUUUUAUAGUUUUUUUUCU